This is a long non-coding RNA of Passer domesticus (house sparrow), 5280 nucleotides long. RefSeq lists it as uncharacterized. NCBI's taxonomy places the organism in Eukaryota, Metazoa, Chordata, Aves, Passeriformes, Passeridae. The transcript has 4 exons. The record is from RefSeq and is a predicted model, not a curated record.
UUGGGGCGUGCUCUGGCGACACUCGCUGUGUCUCCAUGAAGGAAACUUGGGUCUGGCGGUCUGUCAGGCCGCGUUUGCACCGUCGUUUUGGCUGCCUCCCGCUUCAGCACAGUCACUUUUAGGAGCUAUUUCUCGGGAAAGCCACGAGAGCCCGUUCCGAAGAUGAAGUCCCGGCAGUGCAGGGGGGUGGCGGGGCGGCUCUGGGCUUCCACACUGCGCUGCGGGCCCGCCAGCAGCUGUACUCUGCAAAAGGGCUUGAUAACAAGAUGAUGCUUGAAUACAAUACGUCCCUCAAAGGGGCCCGGCCAAAAAUCGGGGGCUGCAGGGACGUGGAGCGCUGGUGCUCCUGCAAGGAAACAAGCGGGGAGCAGCGGGAUGGGGCAGGAGCGGGCUCGGCGGGGUGAGGGCCGGAGAGGAAGAGGGAGCCGGGUCAGGGGGAGGAAAGCAGCUCCGAGGGAAGCUCCCCCCGGGAUGAGGAAGGAGAGGAAGAGGGAGCCGGGUCAGGGGGAGGAAAGCAGCUCCGAGGGGAGCUCCCUCCGGGAUGAGGAAGGAGAGGAAGAGGGAGCCGGGUCAGGGAGAGGACAGCAGCUCCGAGGAGAGCUCCCCCCGGGGUGAGGAAGGAGAGGAAGAGGGAGCCGGGCUAGGGAGAGGACAGCAGCUCCGAGGGGAGCUCCCUCCGGGGUGAGGAAGGAGAGGAAGAGGGAGCCGGGUCAGGGGGAGGAAAGCAGCUCCGAGGGAAGCUCCCCCCGCUCCCACCACACGCCAGGAGCAGACGGCACUGCAAUUUGACAUCCUGUGUUAUAACAGUGUGAUAGAUUACAUACUACAGUUAGUGAUUACUGUGUAUGAUACUGUGCUUCUUGACAAAUACUAGAGCGAAGUUUUUGUUUUAAAACACUUUCGUGGAUGAAGAGCCUCAUCUGUGGUGUGACUUGAAAGUUUCUGCUUCUCUGACGUCCCUUUGCACAUUUCAGAAGAAAACCUGAGAGAUGGAAGAGAGAACUGUCCAACUGGAAAGACAAGGCAUUUCACAGGAGAGAGGAAAAAGAAAAAAUUCCAAAGGUAGUCUCAAGAGCCAGGAGGAACCAGAGAUCUGAAGUUUCAUAUUCAUCCAAUGAUGUCCCUAUGUCUCUGAGCAAGAAGACAUGAGGAGCUGUGUGGUGCCCUGUGAUGUGGGAGUACAGAUGGAGUAAAAGACUCAUGCCUAGAAACUGUGGUAGUGGUGCAAGUGUGUCCAGCAUUUGUACAAUUGUGUCAGAUGAACAGAGUAUAGAAAACAAAGGAUAAAAUUUAAAAGGUAAGAGAUUUUAAAAGGUAAGAAAUUUACUUUAAUUUCUCCUUUGGGAAAUGAAGCUUCAUUAAAAACUGAACUAUCUGAAAAAUGCACUGCUUGUCAUGUAAUUCUAUGAUGAUAAGAAUUGAAAAGCAUUUUAACAAUGUCGGUGUGAUUAAUUUGGACUCUUUUCAGAAUAAAUUGUUUCAUGAUUGAAACUCAAACCUCUUUACUAGUUAAUUAUCUUAAGGGAAUGCAUUUCAAAUUUCCUGAAACAGCAUCUCCUCUAGAAACUAUCUUCUAAGAAACUAUAAAAAGUUGAUUUUGUUAUCAUUCAGAAUGAGCACAACUUUCAAGGAGUCAGAACUUCCCUACAAAUUCUAAUUGAAAUAAUGUUACAACAAAAGUAAUUUGAGUCUCAGUGGAUAUGAUAGGAAAAUUUAGAAAUUAAUUCCAAGGAUUAUGAAUUAGUACCUACAUGCUCCCAUCACUUCUGCACAUGUAAAAUUUUGUGGGAAAGGUAGUGCUAUGUUUUGUCUUUCUAGAAGAAAAGCCAAGUGUUCUUGAUCUCUCUCUCUUGCUGAUGUCAUAAUACUGAUGUCAGUCUACAUCUAUAUUAUUGUAAAUGCUGACCGAACCUGACUGUGUUGCCAUAUGUUUAAUGCUGGUGACCUUCAGGCCACCUCACAGAAAUGUGCUGGUGUAAAAUGCUAAAUAUGUAUACCACUGGAAUACAUUACUAGGACACACAUCAGAGCUAGGUAGUUCAUUAUUAAUCUUACAACCCUACUAGUCACUUCUGUCAUGUAUAUUGCCACCAGUCAAAACUUCUGCACCUGGAAAUCUGCUGAUUCUGGAAACUUUAGUCAUAGGUCAUGGGACAGAGUAAAACACUGGCUAGUUCUGCUGCCUAUACAGUUUUAACAAAUGAGGUUAAAGCUUUGCUUUGUUUCCAAAAUAAGCAAAUUCAAGAAAACCUAUAGAGAAGAAGGGUAUGAUUAGUUGCUGAUGAUACUUGCACAAAUUUCAGUUGUGUUAGCACAUCUCCAUUUACACUACAGCCACAGGUUUAGACAAUUACCUUUUAAUUAUCAAGAUGGUAACUUUAUUUAUUAUCACUAUAUAUCAAAUAACAGUAUUAGUGGGAACUGAGUUCUCCUUCUUAUUGGAGAUUUUCUCUCUCUUUAACUCAGUGAUCCUUUCCUUCUGCUCAUUUUGCUAAGAAUGUAAGUCACAUGAGGAAACAACAGUAUAAUGGAGAGUAUUGCCUAUGAAAUUUUCCCGAGCCAGCCAAAUUAUUUGGCAGCUGUACUGGUUUCAGUCAGACUUAUAGGUCUAAAUGCAAGUAUUUGCUUUGGUUUUGUAUUUCAGAAAUAGCAAUCAUAGAUAUCUUUGGUGCUUAUGAAGUGGGUUCUGCAAAUAAACUCUUUCUUCUCCUUUCCUCUUUUUCAUUCCCUUUUCCUUUUCCCAGGUUCCACUGACAAGAACCAUUGUUCUUGUCAAGAACCAUUCCAUUUUUCAAGAACCAUUUGAUUUUUCUAACUAGAAGAUACUAGAAGAUUAAUCUAACUAGUACUCAUUAACAGCUCCAUCUUUACCUUGAAGGAUGAAAGUGGUUCUUGAUUGGGUAAGGAAGUGAAUAUGAAGAAAGAUCAUUGCAUACAGAAGACAGGGUCUGAGGUUGGAACUGGGAGGACCUCUACACCCAGGUACAGAAAUGGCUGCAUAUGCUGGUUUGGAAAAGUUAGCUUCCAAACUAGAGGGAUGGGAUUUCAAUUCAUCAGCAAAACCCCUUGGAGUUAAAUCACUGCAUUUUUGAAAUACUGAAAAUCAGCAGAGGAUGAGUUUGGCAGCUGUAGAAACUCAAAAGAAAAGAACAAAAGAAUUUAUACUUUCUUGUUGUACAGACAAUUUUGCCAUCAAAGCAGGCAAGAGAUUUUUAUUCCUCUCUUCCCUUUGCUUUUAUGUGUAUCUUGCAGGAACUACAGUUUAUAGUCUCUCAAACUGUCCAUCAAAACUGAAAAAAACCCCCAUGGAUUGGAUGGCUUAGCAGAGGUUCUGAAAAAAACAUCAGUGGAAAGGAAUUUGAUGCACAUUUGUUGGCAUAGCAGUGAAUAUGAGCAGAACUACGCAUAGAAAUAUCUUCUGUGAGCAGGGAAACAGCAUUAAGACACUCUGUUUCCCUUAGGACUUCAUACUUACUCGGGGGCAAAAUUACAGAAGUAUUCAUUUUCUCCCUUGCUAAGGAUAUGACCAGGGUGCAGCAAUCCUCACCUUGUGGCACUCAUGUGAGACAUGUUCUUCCCAUCAUUUCUGACUGAGCAGCUCCUGAAUUCUCUCAUGUUUGUGGGCCCAAAAUUCUGAUCUCUUGUAGGCUUCAGGUGUACUUAGAAAUUAUAACCACAUUAUAAAUACAUUCUGAGUAUUCAGAGUAUUUCUCAAUAGAGAAAAGCCUACUCUUUUCUCUUUUUCUCCAUGGCUUCCCUUUCCAAUGCCCUCCAGCAGAAAGAAUAAAGCUUAAUAAUUUAUUUUUGGCAAGCAGCAAAAGGAACAUUCCAGGUGCUGAAUAACCUGAACUAAUCAGAUUAUUUUAAAUAUAAAUAGCAAGAGAAUCUAGAUAAAACACAAGCACUUCUUUUAUUGGACAGCUGUAUUUGCACUGCUCUUUCUCUUAGGCUUUCCAGCUCUAAGGAUUCCUAUUGCCUUUUCCUUCAGUCCCUGGUCCUCAAGCUGGCUGUAUAAAGCUAUACAGGCUAUACAAAGCUAUAAAUUUGCUAAAUUAUGUCUACUUAGAGUGGCUAAACUUGCUAAGAAGUAUCUGGAAAAGGGCAAAAAGUUUUCAUCAAGGUCUCACUCGUGGCUAUGUCUGCACACCAUGGCCAAAAUCUCUCUGGGUAAUGCAAUUAGAGUUGCUAAUUCCUGAGGGCUUCCCAAGAGGGAACCUGGCCUAAUUCAGGAACUGAUGGAGCUCCACCUGCAGAGCCAAGUGGGAGGGAGUCUCACCUGCUGCAGUGUGUGCACCCAUCCAACUCCCUGCCUGAAACCGGCACAGAGCUGGUCACAUGCAGGGUACUGUAACCUGUGCAAUUUGCACUUCUUUCUCUGGAGUUACUUGCAUUUUCCUUCUCCUGUGCUAAGGGAAAUCACAAUGGAUAUCUUUUCAGUCUCAGAAGAGACUCCCACUUGCACGUUGCUGGGCUGUGGGAGUUCCAUAAAGGAUUAGUAUUUGACAGGAUCUUGGGCUCAUAUUGUAUACAAUACAGAUAAAACCAACAGUUUAUUACAAAGGGCAAAGAUUAAUAACAUGCUCUCUAGGAAAAUCUGAUUGUCAUGCUGGUAUUCUGAACAUGAGAUAACGACAGACAAUAUACAUUAUUGUGGGGUCAUGAUGGCCCUAAGCAGAUUAGUUUCACUCUGAAUUUCUCCUAAAAAUACAUGGCAUCUUUAGAUUGUCUGGCUUGUACCAUUUUUAAAGGAGCCUUACUGCAUGCUGAGGAGAGCUGCCAAAGAGAUGGCCUUCAAAUAUAUCUUUUGAUUUUUGUCCAGUUGCUAAACAAAUGUUUUUCCAGAAGCUGGCCCAUGUUGGCUGCCUAAUAAAUUCUCAGGAAGUAAAAAAAGAAGAAGAAAUUUCUGUUUUAUUUUUAACCCUUCUCAUUCCUUAAUUAAAAUCUUAAUGAUGAUACAUUCCUUUUUUUUUUUUUUUUAAUUAUUAUUUUUUUGGUUAUCUAGGCUGAAAAGUGAUGUCUGAAGUAAGAAGCAGGAAUAAUCCCUUUGUGGCAGCUCCCCUGUCCUGAAGCUGCAUAAGCAGUACAGGCUCUCUUGCACAUAGUAAUUUUGGUCUCCUCUGCACUUAAACAGGAUUGUUGAGUUCAGUUCAGAAGCCUGAUGAGAUUAUUUCCUUUAUAGGGAGUUCUUCUGUCUUAAAGUCACAUUCAUUCCUUUAAUUUAGAAUUGUGUUGCUGUAGAAAUGUAUGAAAUAAAAGAUAACCACUGUGGUAGCAACUCUA